GGCUCUGUGGCGCAAUGGAUAGCGCAUUGGACUUCUAGUAAAAUAAAGACAUUCAAAGGUUGUGGGUUCGAGUCCCACCAGAGUCG
Non-coding RNA from Xenopus tropicalis (tropical clawed frog), 86 nucleotides. The record is from Rfam. Lineage: Eukaryota; Metazoa; Chordata; Amphibia; Anura; Pipidae.